Molecule: RNA transcript, 6453 nt
Organism: Pongo pygmaeus (Bornean orangutan)
Lineage: Eukaryota; Metazoa; Chordata; Mammalia; Primates; Hominidae
Gene name: GRIP and coiled-coil domain-containing protein 2-like
Exons: 12
Source: RefSeq, a predicted model, not a curated record
CAAAAACAGCCUAGGAAAAAGAUUCUUUGAUAACACCUCAUGUUUCUCGGUCAAGCACUCCCAGAGAGUCACCAUGUGGCAAAAUUGCUGUAGCUGUAUUAGAAGAAACCACAAGAGAGAGGACAGAUGUUAUUCAGGGUGAUGAUGUAGCAGAUGCAACUUCAGAAGUUGAAGUGUCUAGCACAUCUGAAACAACAACAAAAGCAGUGGUUUCUCCUGGAUUUAGUUUUAAUGCACCUUUGAAAAGUAACAAUAGUGAAACUAGUUCAGUAUCCCAGAGUGGAUCUGAAAGCAAAGUGGAACCUAACAAAUGUGAACUGUCAAAGAACUCUGAUAUGGAACAGUCUUCAGAUAGCAAAGUCAAAAAUCUCUUUGUUUCCUUUCCAACGGAAGAAUCUUCAAUCAACUACACAUUUAAAACACCAGAAAAGGAAUAUGAAAAGCAGUCAGAGCAACUGAAUGUGGAAAAAGAACUUGCUGAUAAUUUUGAACGUCAUAUUGAAGACCUUACAAGACAAUUAAGAAAUUCGACUUUGCAGUGUGAAAAAAUAAAUUCUGAUAAUGAAGAUCUCCUGGCUCGUAUUGAGACACUACAGUCUAAUGCCAAAUUAUUAGAAGUACAGAUUUUAGAAGUCCAGAGAGCCAAAGCAAUGAUAGACAAAGAAUUAGAAGCUGAAAAACUUCAGAAAGAACAGAAGAUAAAGGAACAUGCCACUACUGUAAAUGAACUUGAAGAACUUCAGGUACAACUUCAAAAGGAAAAGAAACAGCUUCAGAAAACCAUGCAAGAAUUAGAGCUGGUUAAAAAGGAUGCCCAACAGACCACAUUGAUGAAUAUGGAAAUAGCUGAUUAUGAACGUUUGAUGAAAGAACUAAAUCAAAAGUUAACUAAUAAAAACAACAAGAUAGAAGAUUUGGAGCAAGAAAUAAAAAUUCAAAAACAGAAACAAGAAACCCUACAAGAAGAAAUAACUUCAUUACAGUCUUCAGUACAACAAUAUGAAGAAAAAAACACCAAAAUCAAGCAAUUGCUUGUGAAAGCCAAAAAGGAACUGGCAGAUUCAAAGCAAGCAGAAACUGAUCACUUAAUAUUUCAAGCAUCUUUAAAAGGUGAGCUGGAGGCAAGCCAGCAGCAAGUAGAAGUCUAUAAAAUACAGCUGGCUGAAAUAACAUCAGAGAAGCACACAAUCCACGAGCACCUGAAAACCUCUGCAGAACAGCACCAGCGUACGCUAAGUGCGUACCAGCAGAGAGUGACAGCAGUACAGGAAGAGAGCUGUGCUGCCAAGGCAGAACAAGCUACUAUAACCUCUGAAUUCGAGAGCUACAAAGUCCGAGUUCAUAACGUUCUAAAACAACAGAAAAAUAAAUCUGUGUCUCAGGCUGAAACUGAGGGCGCUAAACAAGAAAGGGAACAUCUGGAAAUGCUGAUUGACCAGCUAAAAAUGAAAUUACAAGAUAGCCAAAAUAACUUACAGAUUAAUGUAUCUGAACUUCAAACAUUGCAGUCUGAACAUGAUACACUGCUAGAAAGGCACAAGAAGAUGCUGCAGGAAGCUGUGUCCAAAGAGGCGGAACUCCGGGAAAAGAACGUGACUGUACUCGAACCAAAAAGACAUCUGCUAGCAAUUUGCAGUCUCAGAGCGGCCCACAGUUUUAUGGAGCUUCAUCUGAAACUCUGAUUCAUUCUUGAAAAAGCUAAUGCAAGUGGGGGUGAGGGCAGCCAGCUCCUUGCUGGGGGAUCAGCAGAGGAGGAGUUGUUUCUGCCAGCCCGGGUUACAGUUCUGUGCUGUGUCUCCCAAGAGUUUCGCUCUUGUUGUCCAGGCUGGAGUGCAAUGGCACUAUCUUGGCCCACCGCAACCUCUGCCUCUGGAGUUCAGGCGAUUCCCCUGCCUUAGCCUCCCGAGUAGCUGGGACUGCAGGUGCACACCACCACGCCCAGCUAAUUUUUGUAUUUUUAGUAGAGACAGGGUUUCACCGUGUUGGCCAGGACAGUCUGGAUCUCUUGCUUUGUGAUCCGCCCGCCUCGGCCUCCAAAAGUGCUGGGAUUACGGGCGUGAGCCACCGUGCCCAGCCUCCUAACUCCUUAUAAACCAGAAAACAUUUCUUAGAACUCCCUCGCCAUUCCCUCUUAUUUUGCAUAUGGCCAGAAAUGGGCACAGACACGUCCCUAGAUAAAUCACUGCCCGGGGGAAUGGAGCCAUUAGAACUGGCUGAAAAUGCUGAGGUUUGCCUCUGAGCCUUAGAGGAGAUGUGUGGACACCAUGACAAAACUAGGGCUUUCCCAGCAGAGGAGAAAUUGGGGAGUGGUGGUGGCUGGCCAUGCGGCAUGUGCGUCACACCAAGUGACAUGCUCCAAUUUGCUUUGGAAGCUUUUCUGUUCUUGUUAAGGUACUGAUGGCCUCUCCCUGUUCCCCUUGCAGAUGAAGUGGGAGUGCCUCAGUCCCUGAUAUUUCCCCAGCCUCACAGGGACAUGCAGAGGCCACUGAUCGUGAUGUGAGAUCUGCCUUCAGUGGCUCCCUGUGGCCAACAGGCUGGGCUGCGUCAACUGUCGGGCACCAGCUUCGUCCUCUUCAACAUGCUCCGUGCAUCCUGACAGGGUGGUCUGUAAUUUCAGCCUCAGAGGUCAGGCUCCCAUGCCCUUCCGAGUGGAGUGCCUCGGCAGUGGGUUGUUAUUUCAGGACACAGAAUCAGUCUCAAUACUGGGGGCCAAGACUCUUCACAAAUGUGUCUCCCGGGGAAAGCUUUAUCCACCAGGACGCCCCAUGUGUUUGUGAAUCUGACCUGGGAAUCUCCCAUGAAAUGAGGUCCAUUUCAGUCAUAUCUGUUCUUAUGGUUUAAACUCCGGCUAACAUUUCUUUAUCUAGAGUGUGUGGAUGAGAUGAAGGCUGCAGGGCUUACAAUACAUAUCCAGCAACGCUAAGGCAUCUUGGAAUUUUGGUGGGAAAGGUGGUGCGAGCCAUCACGAUACUCAGAGCAAUUCUCCUGUCUUUUGAAAAAUAGAAUUUGCUUCCUGCCACAGCCCUAGGUGUCCUGAUCAGAUUAGAAGUACUCCAGUUUAUGUCCAGCCCAGAUUUUGAAAACUGAUCUGCUGUGACAAUCUCCUGGUUUUCUAAUUUGCAUGUCUCCCUGCUUCUACCCAAUGUGGUGAAGGCUGCUGCAACCAACCAGCCCCAUCCGAGGGAAGGCAGGGAAGGCGGAUGCAGGCCUGGGCAAGUGCUCUGCAAGCUUGCUUUCUUUGUGUCCUGGAUGAAGUGAGCGUCUCUCUUCUAAUCCAUGUAGACUCAGCAUUUAGGAAGAAGCAAGAGUCGAUUCUUUGUAACACAGGCUGAAAAUCUCCCAAUCCUUUGCUUCCUACCUUGUUUUUAUCUAUAAACUUGAUUUUCGUUUCCUCUGAAAAUUACCCAUCAAACCAAAUCCUUCUCCCUUAAUUCCUCCCUGCAUUUAACACGAUUCACCUUUGCCUGUGUGUUGUAGGAUAAACAGCCCGCUGCCCCAGUGAGAAGAGCAACAAACAGAAUAAUUAAAAAAAAACCAACUGACAAAUCUGAACAAGCUUUGGUGGUGAGGACCCGAUUAAUUACACUCGUCCACACCCAAGCUUGGCAGAAGGGGGUGCCCUGGGAAUGUCUGCAGAAGCCAACCCCAUGCCUGAGGGGUCAGGGGUCAGGGUUGACAGCCCUUCCCUGAAGCUGGAUGAGACCCAGCCCGGGAGUAACUCCAGCCUGAAAGAGAACUAAUUGAGGAAGCUUCUUCUAAAGGUAGUGACUGCUAUGUUCUGUCUGCUGGGUUCCCUUUAGAGUUCAUGGGAUACAUUCCAUCCAGUUGCAGGGCAAAGAGAGGGCCUUGGGGUAACCAUUAGUUCUAGGCAUGGAGACCUGGGCUUACAAGCAAGUGCUCAACUGGGUGCAGCCGAAAAGGGGAGAAAUCCCGGAAAUACAGGAUAGUCGAGUUCCUCCUGGGAACUUGGCAGUCAUGAUUUAGACAACAUGCACCUAAGAAUAUGCUGAUUUUACAAAUACCUCAACUAACUUGUGGUAGAAAUACCAGAUACCAUGUGGGUCCCCAGCUGCAGUACUAAUAGGCUAGGCUGCCUGUUGAAGCCAUCAAAAGUCACUUACACUGUGUAAUAUGGGAGACGCCAAAUGCUUAUUAGCCCCCCCACCCCAGUGUCCUUCCUCUUAACAGGACACAGUACCUCCAAUGCCUGAAUCUUUUAUUUAAAGGAGCUAAAAGUGAAGGAAGUCCACAAUUAAAACACAAAUAUGGGCUGGGUGUGGUGGCUCAUGCCUGUAAUCCCAGCACUUUGGGAGCCCAAGGCAGGAGAAUCUCUUGAGCCCAGGAGUUUGAGACCAGCCUAGUCCACAUAGCAAGACCCCAUCUCUGCAAAACAAACAAAAAAUACACAAAUAUGUUACACCAAAGGGCAUCACAGAACCCCAUAAUCAUCCAUUAAAGAUCACUGGAAAUGUUGUUUAUCUGAGGAGGCAGCUAGUCAUAGGAGGGACCUCUUGAAUAAGGGCCAGGAAUCUCCCAGUUUUGAAAGAAGGUUCUGGAACUCUCUGGUACUUUCUUUCUUUUUUUUUUUUUGAGACGGAGUCUUGCUCUGUCACCCAGGCUGGAGUGCAGUGGCGCAAUCACGGCUCAGUGCAACCUCUGCCUCCUGGGUUCAAGUGAUUCUCCUGCCUCAGCCUCCCGAGUAGCUAGGAUUAUAGGUAUGCACCACCAUGCCCAGCUAAUUUUUGUAUUUUUAGUAGAGAUGUUGUUUCGCCAUGUUGGCCAGGCUGGUCUUGAACUCCUGACCUCAGGUGAUCCACCUGCCUCGGCAUCCCAGAGUGCUGAGAUUACAGGCGUGAGCCACUGUGCCCAGUCUCUCUGGAACUUUCUGAUACUAUAUAAAAAGAGGCAGUAGGAGCAGUGAAUGGCCUUGUGCUGCCUGCUGAAAAAUGAACCCACGAAGGAAUGUGCGUUAAGGGUGUGGUGCUGGGCAGCUAUCUGGGAGAGGAACACGGCCAUUGGCUGAUUUCAGGUCCAGCACCCAGGGUUCACCUGAGGCAACUGGUCCAGACUCGAAGUUGUGUGCAUUUUCUAAACAGUGGUUGCAAAAUUGUCCCCAAAUUAUUCCCAUGUAAUUUUUUGAAAGUUAUUUGUUUCUUAUGAUUUUUGCAUUAAUACAUGAGAUGCAUUUGUAGUUUUCUUGGUUGAAGUGUGCCAUCUCAGGUUCUGAAAUCAAUGUUAUAUUUCAUAAAAUAAUUCAAGCAUAUUCCUUCUUUUCUACAUGCUAGAACAAUUUAUACAGAAUUGAGUGCUACCUGCUCUUUAAAGGUAUCUUAGAAUGUCCCUGUGACACUAGUUGGGCAUUUCUGAGGGAACUCUUUGGCAACUUUUUCUCUUUGUUAUAUGAGAAUCAGAAUGCUUUGAUUUUUUUUCUGUUUGGGAUCCAUUUUGCUAAAUUAUAUUUUCCAAGAAAAUUGUAUUUUUCAUCCAAGUUUUCAAAUUUUACUUUCAUGGAGUUAACCAAAGUAUUUCCUUAUGGUUGUUUUAAUUUAAUAUAGUUUCGUGGUUAUUUUUCUCUUAGUCUUUCUUAUUUUGUAUAUUUGCAUUUUCUACUUUUUUUUUUCUGUAUUAGGUUAGCUAGUGCUUUUCUAUUUUUUAAUUCUUUUCCCCAAAGAUUCAGUUUACUUCUUUUUUUUCUGUUUUCUAAUUCACUAAGUUAGAAAGUUCUGUUUUUAUUUUUAUUAAUUCAUUCUUUCUACAUUCCUUCAGUUUAUUUUAUUGUUCUUUUUCUAAGCUAGAUGCUUGGUUCGUUUGGUUUUUAUUUAUUGUUUAUUUAAGUAUUUAAACCUAUGAAUUUCUCUUCCACUACUACCUUAACACUAUCUCAUAGAUUCCAAGGUGUGGAAAAUGUAUUGUUUUUGUUAUUUUUAUUUUCUAGAAGUCCUGUGAUUUAGGUUAAUAUUAUAUUUUGAUCCAAGAGUUAAGAAGAAUUGCUUUAAAUUCAUAUAGGAUAAACUUUAAAAAUGUUCAGGUGAAAAGGAAUUUUUGUUAUCUGUUUUUAAAAAUUAAUUUAUCAUUUUAUUGCAUUGUGACCAAAGAAGGUUGCCUAUGCUAUUUCUACGUUCUGGAAUGUAUUGAGGUUUUUUUCGUGGCCUCAUAUGUGCUCAGUUUUCCUGAAUGUUCUAUUCUUGAAUAUUCUUGAAAUAAGAAUAUGCUCUAUGUGUAAAGAAUAUAUAUAUAUAUGAACUAUCAUGUUUAACAUAGAUUAUAUGAGAGUUCUAUAUUAUUGAUUUCAUUUUUAUUAAUUUGAUUUGUCAUAGUAUAGAGUCAGGAAUGAAACCAGCGUGAUUCUGUUUCUUUCUCCUUUUGUAUCCUGUAAUUCCAAGUUUAUGAGUGCCAUUGCAUUGUUAUUUGGUACUCAGUUAUUUAUAACUAUUAUAUCUUCACUGUGAAUCA